UUAGGGUUUGAAUAGAAAAAGGACGGUGAACAUCAUCAUCUUCAUCAGGCUAUCAUCACUCAUCAGCAAUCCAGGGCAUCUUCAUCUUCUCCGGCCUCCACCGUCUCCUCCGCCACAAACCCGCCACCGUCUCUGCGUCUCUGUCGUCUCCUCCGCUACAAACCCCCCACCCUCCGUCUACAAUUCAGCCCCUCAAACAAUAACCGCCACCACCGAAACCUUUUUUUACUCCUUCAGACUCCGGUCUCAAAUUGUCACCAUCAAUUGGAUAUAUUCGACACCAAAGGUAACACUUUUCAAAUAUUAUUCAAUCCCUGUUAAAUGAUUUCAAGCAAAACCAAUAGAAUUUAAUUUUGUGCCAUAUCAUUUAUUUUAAUUAUGGAUAUAUUUAUUUUAAAGGGUGUGUUAGAAUUUGAUAUCAUCGUUAUUUUUUAAUCCUUCUUGAUCAUUGAGUGUAAGGAAUAUGAAAUUCAGAGAAGCAUUGCCAAUUGUUAGUGAAGACAUAUAUGUUAUAAUAUGACAUUGUUCAUGGCCAAUGGAAGAAUCAUGACCUUAAGGUUAAGGACGAAAAAACCAUUCUCUUUGGUGAGAAGCCUAUCAUUCAUCAUUGUUUUUGGCGUCAGUAGGAAACUAGGAACCCAUAAAAGAUCCCAUGGGUUGUAGUAGGAGCUGGGUUUGUGGUCGAGUUCACUGAGUUUGUAACAAUUUCAGAAACAAGUUUCGCUUUUCCUGCAUGGCGUUUGGGAUUGGAAGGCAUUGGGAUUAGGCAUUAGCCCGAAGAUAAUACUAAAACCUGUUGCAUCGCGAAUUUGGCUAGAAUGGUGUAAAAAUGAUUUUUUGCACUAUUAUGACAAGAAUGGUGUGAGGUAAACGUUCAAGUACCAAUAAAGAAAGAUGAAAACCUGGUAAGACCAUGUGGUUUAUUUUCAACAAUUCAAGAUUGUAUUGGUGCAUCCAUCGCAUGGCCCUAUCCAUUCAUCUCGGUAGUUCAUGAGAAUUGAGGACGCAUGAUGACUUAAGAUUUUAUGCUUCUUAUUUCUUUAAUUGCUUUUAAUUUCUUUGUUAAAUGUUAAGACUUUAUGUUAGAUAAUGUUAUAACUUAUUUAUGGUUAGUGUUUUUGUUAUGAACAUGCUUAUUUGAAAUAUAAUGAAGUUUUAUUUCUUUC
This is a long non-coding RNA of Helianthus annuus (common sunflower), 1166 nucleotides long. RefSeq lists it as uncharacterized. The record is from RefSeq and is a predicted model, not a curated record. The transcript has 6 exons. NCBI's taxonomy places the organism in Eukaryota, Viridiplantae, Streptophyta, Magnoliopsida, Asterales, Asteraceae.